AUGCUCAACCCAAAGGAUUCAGCAUUAGGAAGUGCCACCUUAGCUGAUCAGAGUUUAAGUUCCAUAUAUUUUGUUUGUAGCAGGGCAGGUGUGAAGGCCACUCAUCCAACACAUGUAGCCAAGAAAGAACGGGCUAUUUAAAGGACUGCUUGCUUGGCUUGUGUUCAAUUCAACAUCACUAGGUAGGGUAUUUGGAGUAUUCGGAAAGUAAUGCUUCAUCAGCUUGUAAGUCCAGAUAAGAGGCGCAUGCUUAGGUUGCAGCGUCAAUUAGAUGCCGAUCACCACAUGAUAAAGCAAAAGAGGACAUCAAAAAUUAAACAAGCUAAAAUAUAGUAUGAUUUAUGUGAGCUUUGGUAUGGUAAAGAUGUAGUGCCCUUCUUGCAAACGGAUUGUAACAAUUAUGGAAGUGAGCGCUCGAAGUAUAUAACCACGGAUGCACAAACAUUAAUUGAGUAUCUAAAGAACAAGCAAGUUGAGGACCCUUCGUUUUUCUAGGCUAUGCAAUUAGAUGAUGAUGAUGGUACAAUAAUGAAUAUCUUUUGGAUUGAUGGACAAGCUAUCAUGGAUUGUUCUGUUUUUGGAGAUGCUCUUUCCUUUGACACCACAUUUUCAACAAAUGAGUUUCAAAUGCCAUUCGCUCCAUUUAUUGGUGUUAAUCAUCACAAGCAAACUAUUCUUUUUGGUGCAGCACUGUUGUAUGAAGCCAUGGAUACCUUUGAGUGGAUUUUUAGAACCUUCCUACAAGCUAUGUCUGGUAAGCAACCUAAUACAAUAUUCACCGAUCAAUGUGCUGCCAUUAUAAAUGCUAUUGGAAGGGUUUUCCCGGAAACAAGGGAUCGUCUUUGUUUGUGGCAUUUGUAUCAAAAUGCCACUAAACACCUAAGCCAAGUAAUGAACGACCAUCCUAAGUUUCUUACGGAAUUAAAAAGAUGUGUGGAAGAUAGAUCGGUGACACAUUUUGAGAAUAGAUGGCACGAGCUAUUGGUUAAGUACCAAACUGAGGAAAAUUCUUGGGUAAAAAAUCUAUAA
RNAcentral lists this ribosomal RNA (1029 nucleotides) under Triticum aestivum (bread wheat). RNAcentral describes it as "partial small subunit ribosomal RNA". The record is from RNAcentral. Lineage: Eukaryota; Viridiplantae; Streptophyta; Magnoliopsida; Poales; Poaceae.